Molecule: ribosomal RNA, 468 nt
Filed under: uncultured bacterium
Lineage: Bacteria
Description: partial 16S ribosomal RNA
Rfam family: Bacterial small subunit ribosomal RNA
Source: RNAcentral
GACGAACGCUGGCGGCGUGCUUAACACAUGCAAGUCGAACGGAAAGGCCCUGCUUUUGUGGGGUGCUCGAGUGGCGAACGGGUGAGUAACACGUGAGUAACCUGCCCUUGACUUUGGGAUAACUUCAGGAAACUGGGGCUAAUACCGGAUAGGAGCUCCUGCUGCAUGGUGGGGGUUGGAAAGUUUCGGCGGUUGGGGAUGGACUCGCGGCUUAUCAGCUUGUUGGUGGGGUAGUGGCUUACCAAGGCAUUGACGGGUAGUCGGCCUGAGAGGGUGACCGACCACAUUGGGACUGAGAUACGGCCCAGACUGCUACGGGAGGCAGCAGUGGGGAAUAUUGCACAAUGGGCGGAAGCCUGAUGCAGCAACGCCGCGUGCGGGAUGACGGCCUUCGGGUUGUAAACCGCUUUCGCCUGUGACGAAGCGUGGGUGACGGUAAUGGGUAAAGAAGCACCGGCUAACUACGUG